GACGAACGCUGGCGGCGUGCUUAACACAUGCAAGUCGAACGGAAAGGCCCUGCUUUUGUGGGGUGCUCGAGUGGCGAACGGGUGAGUAACACGUGAGUAACCUGCCCUUGACUUUGGGAUAACUUCAGGAAACUGGGGCUAAUACCGGAUAGGAGCUCCUGCUGCAUGGUGGGGGUUGGAAAGUUUCGGCGGUUGGGGAUGGACUCGCGGCUUAUCAGCUUGUUGGUGGGGUAGUGGCUUACCAAGGCUUUGACGGGUAGCCGGCCUGAGAGGGUGACCGGACACAUUGGGACUGAGAUACGGCCCAGACUCCUACGGGAGGGAGAAGUGGGGAAUAUUGCACAAUGGGCGGAAGCAUGAUGCAGCAACGCCGCGUGCGGGAUGACGGCCUUCGGGUUGUAAACCGCUUUCGCCUGUGACGAAGCGUGAGUGACGGUAAUGGGUAAAGAAGCACCGGCUAACUACGUG
RNAcentral lists this ribosomal RNA (468 nucleotides) under uncultured bacterium. RNAcentral's name for it is "partial 16S ribosomal RNA". It matches the Rfam family "Bacterial small subunit ribosomal RNA", at positions 28 to 507 of the family's 1533-position model. The record is from RNAcentral.